GGUAGCGUGGCGCGUGUAUAUAAUAUUAUAAUAUAUACAAUAUACAUAUAGGGUAUAGAAGGGCGCCGUGAACGGGUGUCGUGACGGGGGUUAAGGGGAUACAGUGUGAAAUAGAGUGUGUGCAUGUGUUUGUGUAGAAAAGAGAGAGAGUAACAGGAAAAAAAGGCAAAUUUAGAUCGACGUGGUUCAAAAAACACAACCGAAAGGGUUAAACGCAGAAGAGCGCAUAUUUAAAUAUUACUAGUCAGUAGUCGACGGCGGAGGACAUACGGAACGCAAACGAAAAGCGGCACUCUAAAAUCACCGGAUAAUAUAUUCACAAAGAUUUUUGACGUUCUACGAUGGUUUUAGACUUUUAGUAUCUGCUGCUGUGCGAUUAAACAAUCAGAUUUUUUUGACUAGAUCAAUUCAUGUUUAUUAUAUUUUAUAAGAACAGACAAAGGAUAUUUAAUUCAACACGGGAAUCACUUAUUUCAAACAUCCGUUUAUACUUAUACUAUCGCCAUUCAACCGGAAACAAAGUUCAGAGUCAUAAUAAUAAUUAUUAUAAAUAUUUUACACUACAGAAUACAGACCAUUGCAGUCGAUUCAGAAUUUCGACGAAGAAUAAAAACAAAACAGAUAAAAUAAAAUUGUAUUGUUUAAAAUAAUUUAUAUUCAUAUUUUUUGAAUAUACACAAUUAUUUAUGAAUAUAACUUUCUAUCUUUUAUUUUCUUUCAGCUCAACUGUACCUCCUAUAAAAUAAUUAU
Long non-coding RNA from Aphis gossypii (cotton aphid), 750 nucleotides. RefSeq lists it as uncharacterized. NCBI's taxonomy places the organism in Eukaryota, Metazoa, Arthropoda, Insecta, Hemiptera, Aphididae. The transcript is spliced from 3 exons. The record is from RefSeq and is a predicted model, not a curated record.